UUACGUUAUUAUUAUUAUUAUUAUCAUCAUCAUUAUCAUCGUAUGAUCCCCUAACAAAGACAAAAAUCUAUUCGCCGUAAGUGGGAAUAGAUUUGCAUCGACAUAAAGUAGGGGGUACAAGUCAAAAUAUUCGACAUCUCGUUGCACGUGAUCAGUUUGAACCAAACGAAAUAUUCCUGGUAGUUUUCUCUCUCUUUCUCUCUCUCUCUCACUAUCUCUCUAUUUCUAUUUCUCUAUUUUUAUUUCUCUAAUUUUAUCUCUCUAUUUCUAUCUCUAUGUCUAUCUCUUUCUAUCUCUCCAUCCCUUUGUAACACGCGGUAUACGUACUUAUUUAUUUAUUUCAUAAGUUAAGAUUAUCAUUAUUAUUACCACGAUGUUGAGUUGAUAAGUUCCGCGGCGAUGAUCUUAUUUCGGAUUCAUUUAUAGACGAUCUUAUAUUUCUUUCUCUUAUAGAAGGUUCCAUCAUUCUAGUCCACGAUUCCGGAUAAUAUGAUUGUACUUGAAUGAAAAAAAAAGAAAAAGAAAAAAAUAGAUGUAUCAAAUAAAAAUAAUAAUAAUGUGUAUGUACUUAUAUAAAUUUUUUUUUAAAGGAAUUAUUAUUAUUACCAUCAGGUAGGUUUGGUAAGAGCCUUCGUGCUGGUUUUACUUCGAUUUCACUUUCGGUCCUUCUAAUUCCUCUAUUCCUAGCAGGAGAUUCUCUUAUUCUAAUCCACGAAUCCGGAUAGUACGGUUGUACUUGAAAUAGAAAGGAAAAGAAAAGAAAAAAAGAAUGAAAUAAAAAAAAGUAUCAAAAUAAUAAUUAAAAAAAAAAUUAGGAUAAAAUAAAAUAAAAUACAAUAAAAUAAAAUAAAAAGAGAAGAAAUUAGAACAAACGUGAAGGGAAGUAAUUUGUAUAAGAGAAACGCAUUAGUUAAGGUGGGCUCACUAAUUUUCUUGCUGAUGAAGGUCCUGGUCUUACUUCUAUAUCACUAUCGAUUGUUCUCGCAGGAGAAUCUGUUUCAUAUCAAAAAAGUAAAUAUAAAAAUAAAGCAAGGAAGAAAAAGAAAAAAAAAAAACACACACACACACACACACAGAGACGUGAAAUAGAAAAAAACGUGAAAAUCAAUUAGUAUAAAAGGGGGUUAUAUGUGUAUGUAUACACGCUGUGGUACCGGGUGAUACGAUUGUACUUGAUAGUGGAAAAAAAAAGAAAAAAAAAAAAAAAAAAAAAAGGAAAAACCGAAAAAAAAAAAAAAAAGAAAUAGAAACAAACGUGAAAGAACAAUCGAUAUAAGAGAAACGCAUGAGUUUAUGUAUGUGGGCUUGAUAAGGACCUUCUUGAUUCUUUUUUUUCCCUUAUAAGAGAUUCUUUUAUCCUAAGCCAUGAUUCAGGGUAAUACGGUUGUACUUAAUAAAAAAAAAAAGAAAAAAAAAAAAAAGAGAAGUAUAGAACCAAAGGUGACAGAACCGUUUGAUAAACAUGUUUACAAUAUGGGCCGAAUCCAUAGGAAUUGCUUCUAUCGAUCCAUCGGGUGCUCUUAUUGUAAGCCAUGCUUCGGAAACGCAUGAAUCUAUUUAAAAAGAAAAAUAAAUAAAUAAAUAAAUACGCAUAUAUAUAUAUAUAUAUAUAUA
This is a long non-coding RNA of Vespa velutina, 1614 nucleotides long. RefSeq lists it as uncharacterized. The record is from RefSeq and is a predicted model, not a curated record. The transcript is spliced from 5 exons. NCBI's taxonomy places the organism in Eukaryota, Metazoa, Arthropoda, Insecta, Hymenoptera, Vespidae.